UUUUGACAGUUGCUAGGUUUU
Molecule: non-coding RNA, 21 nt
Organism: Caenorhabditis elegans
Lineage: Eukaryota; Metazoa; Nematoda; Chromadorea; Rhabditida; Rhabditidae
Source: Ensembl